This 430-nucleotide ribosomal RNA is filed under the name bacterium. RNAcentral describes it as "partial 16S ribosomal RNA". It matches the Rfam family "Bacterial small subunit ribosomal RNA", at positions 355 to 776 of the family's 1533-position model. The record is from RNAcentral.
UAGGGAAUCUUCCGCAAUGGACGAAAGUCUGACGGAGCGACGCCGCGUGAGCGAAGAAGGUCUUCGGAUCGUAAAGCUCUGUUGUUAGGGAAGAAGAAGUGCCGUUCGAACAGGGCGGCACGGUGACGGUACCUAACGAGAAAGCCCCGGCUAACUACGUGCCAGCAGCCGCGGUAAUACGUAGGGGGCGAGCGUUGUUCGGAAUUAUUGGGCGUAAAGCGCGCGCAGGCGGUCCCUUAAGUCUGAUGUGAAAGCCCACGGCUUAACCGUGGAGGGUCAUUGGAAACUGGGGGACUUGAGUGCAGAAGAGGAGAGCGGAAUUCCACGUGUAGCGGUGAAAUGCGUAGAGAUGUGGAGGAACACCAGUGGCGAAGGCGGCGCUCUGGUCUGUAACUGACGCUGAGGCGCGAAAGCGUGGGGAGCAAACAGG